UUGCUCCUGGAUUAGUGGCGAACGGGUGAGUAACGCGUGAGUAACCUGCCCUUAACUCUGGGAUAAGCCUGGGAAACUGGGUCUAAUACCGGAUAUGACUCCUCAUCGCAUGGUGGGGGGUGGAAAGCUUUAUUGUGGUUUUGGAUGGACUCGCGGCCUAUCAGCUUGUUGGUGAGGUAAUGGCUUACCAAGGCGACGACGGGUAGCCGGCCUGAGAGGGUGACCGGCCACACUGGGACUGAGACACGGCCCAGACUCCUACGGGAGGCAGCAGUGGGGAAUAUUGCACAAUGGGCGCAAGCCUGAUGCAGCGACGCCGCGUGAGGGAUGACGGCCUUCGGGUUGUAAACCUCUUUCAGUAGGGAAGAAGCGAAAGUGACGGUACCUGCAGAAGAAGCGCCGGCUAACUACGUGCCAGCAGCCGCGGUAAUACGUAGGGCGCAAGCGUUAUCCGGAAUUAUUGGGCGUAAAGAGCUCGUAGGCGGUUUGUCGCGUCUGCCGUGAAAGUCCGGGGCUCAACUCCGGAUCUGCGGUGGGUACGGGCAGACUAGAGUGAUGUAGGGGAGACUGGAAUUCCUGGUGUAGCGGUGAAAUGCGCAGAUAUCAGGAGGAACACCGAUGGCGAAGGCAGGUCUCUGGGCAUUAACUGACGCUGAGGAGCGAAAGCAUGGGGAGCGAACAGGAUUAGAUACCCUGGUAGUCCAUGCCGUAAACGUUGGGCACUAGGUGUGGGGGACAUUCCACGUUUU
This 749-nucleotide ribosomal RNA is filed under the name uncultured Arthrobacter sp. RNAcentral's name for it is "bacterial SSU rRNA". It matches the Rfam family "Bacterial small subunit ribosomal RNA", at positions 81 to 840 of the family's 1533-position model. Lineage: Bacteria; Bacillati; Actinomycetota; Actinomycetes; Micrococcales; Micrococcaceae. The record is from RNAcentral.